CAGCAGCCGCGGUAAUACGUAGGCGGCAAGCGUUGUCCGGAAUUAUUGGGCGUAAAGGGCUCGCAGGCGGUUUCUUAAGUCUGAUGCGAAAGCCCCCGGCUCAACCGGGGAGGGUCAUUGGAAACUGGGAAACUUGGGUGCAGAAGAGGAGAGUGGAAUUCCACGUGUAGCGGUGAAAUGCGUAGAGAUGUGGAGGAACACCAGCGCGAAGGCGACUCUCUGGUCUGUAACUGACGCUGAGGAGCGAAAGCGUGGGGAGCGAACAGGAUUAGAUACCCCUGUAGUCCCUGUCUCUUAUACA
This 301-nucleotide ribosomal RNA is filed under the name uncultured bacterium. RNAcentral's name for it is "partial 16S ribosomal RNA". It matches the Rfam family "Bacterial small subunit ribosomal RNA", at positions 509 to 808 of the family's 1533-position model. The record is from RNAcentral.